RNAcentral lists this ribosomal RNA (1509 nucleotides) under Helicobacter pylori. RNAcentral describes it as "bacterial SSU rRNA". It matches the Rfam family "Bacterial small subunit ribosomal RNA". The record is from RNAcentral. Lineage: Bacteria; Pseudomonadati; Campylobacterota; Epsilonproteobacteria; Campylobacterales; Helicobacteraceae.
UUUAUGGAGAGUUUGAUCCUGGCUCAGAGUGAACGCUGGCGGCGUGCCUAAUACAUGCAAGUCGAACGAUGAAGCUUCUAGCUUGCUAGAGUGCUGAUUAGUGGCGCACGGGUGAGUAACGCAUAGGUUAUGUGCCUCUUAGUUUGGGAUAGCCAUUGGAAACGAUGAUUAAUACCAGAUACUCCCUACGGGGGAAAGAUUUAUCGCUAAGAGAUCAGCCUAUGUCCUAUCAGCUUGUUGGUAAGGUAAUGGCUUACCAAGGCUAUGACGGGUAUCCGGCCUGAGAGGGUGAACGGACACACUGGAACUGAGACACGGUCCAGACUCCUACGGGAGGCAGCAGUAGGGAAUAUUGCUCAAUGGGGGAAACCCUGAAGCAGCAACGCCGCGUGGAGGAUGAAGGUUUUAGGAUUGUAAACUCCUUUUGUUAGAGAAGAUAAUGACGGUAUCCAACGAAUAAGCACCGGCUAACUCCGUGCCAGCAGCCGCGGUAAUACGGAGGGUGCAAGCGUUACUCGGAAUCACUGGGCGUAAAGAGCGCGUAGGCGGGAUAGUCAGUCAGGUGUGAAAUCCUAUGGCUUAACCAUAGAACUGCAUUUGAAACUACUAUUCUAGAGUGUGGGAGAGGUAGGUGGAAUUCUUGGUGUAGGGGUAAAAUCCGUAGAGAUCAAGAGGAAUACUCAUUGCGAAGGCGACCUGCUGGAACAUUACUGACGCUGAUUGCGCGAAAGCGUGGGGAGCAAACAGGAUUAGAUACCCUGGUAGUCCACGCCCUAAACGAUGGAUGCUAGUUGUUGGAGGGCUUAGUCUCUCCAGUAAUGCAGCUAACGCAUUAAGCAUCCCGCCUGGGGAGUACGGUCGCAAGAUUAAAACUCAAAGGAAUAGACGGGGACCCGCACAAGCGGUGGAGCAUGUGGUUUAAUUCGAAGAUACACGAAGAACCUUACCUAGGCUUGACAUUGAGAGAAUCCGCUAGAAAUAGUGGAGUGUCUGGCUUGCUAGACCUUGAAAACAGGUGCUGCACGGCUGUCGUCAGCUCGUGUCGUGAGAUGUUGGGUUAAGUCCCGCAACGAGCGCAACCCCCUUUCUUAGUUGCUAACAGGUCAUGCUGAGAACUCUAAGGAUACUGCCUCCGUAAGGAGGAGGAAGGUGGGGACGACGUCAAGUCAUCAUGGCCCUUACGCCUAGGGCUACACACGUGCUACAAUGGGGUGCACAAAGAGAAGCAAUACUGCGAAGUGGAGCCAAUCUUCAAAACACCUCUCAGUUCGGAUUGUAGGCUGCAACUCGCCUGCAUGAAGCUGGAAUCGCUAGUAAUCGCAAAUCAGCCAUGUUGCGGUGAAUACGUUCCCGGGUCUUGUACUCACCGCCCGUCACACCAUGGGAGUUGUGUUUGCCUUAAGUCAGGAUGCUAAAUUGGCUACUGCCCACGGCACACACAGCGACUGGGGUGAAGUCGUAACAAGGUAACCGUAGGUGAACCUGCGGUUGGAUCACCUCCUUUCUAGA